UUUUUUUUUUUUUUUUUUUUUAAUUUAUCGGUUUAUCGUUUUGUUUUACCGAAAUAAUUGCCGUCUAUUAUACCGCGUCGUUUCGUUUAGUGACCGUCGUCGAGUCCGUAUUGCCGUUUACCGCUACAAUAACAUCGUUAUUACGUUCGUUAUUCUACGCGAGCGUGAUUUCUACCAGACGUCGUGACGCCCGUAAAAUCCGGGGGAUAAAACGUAGGAAAACCGGGAAAAUUCACGAAAACGACGGUUUUAUUAAUAUUUAUUCGGUAGGUACGGGUACUCGGCGGGAGAAAUUGCUAGACCGAACAGAAAUAAUGGUUGAAAAUUUCACAGGAGUAUCUUUAUGAGACGCAUA
Non-coding RNA from Cinara cedri, 355 nucleotides. The record is from the annotation of a GenBank genome assembly. Lineage: Eukaryota; Metazoa; Arthropoda; Insecta; Hemiptera; Aphididae.